CCUACGGGUGGCAGCAGUGGGGGAUAUUGCACAAUGGGGGAAACCCUGAUGCAGCGACGCCGCGUGGGUGAAGAAGUAUUUCGGUAUGUAAAGCCCUAUCAGCAGGGAAGAAAGACGACGGUACCUGACUACGAAGCCCCGGCUAACUACGUGCCAGCAGCCGCGGUAAUACGUAGGGGGCGAGCGUUAUCCGGAUUCACUGGGUGUAAAGGGAGCGUAGACGGCCGUGCAAGCCAGGAGUGAAAGCCCGGGGCCCAACCCCGGGACUGCUCUUGGAACUGUGCGGCUGGAGUGCGGGAGGGGCAGGCGGAAUUCCUGGUGUAGCGGUGAAAUGCGUAGAUAUCAGGAGGAACACCGGCGGUGAAGGCGGCCUGCUGGACCGCGACUGACGUUGAGGCUCGAAAGCGUGGGGAGCGAACAGGAUUAGAUACCCCUGUAGUC
This 441-nucleotide ribosomal RNA is filed under the name uncultured bacterium. RNAcentral's name for it is "partial 16S ribosomal RNA". It matches the Rfam family "Bacterial small subunit ribosomal RNA", at positions 338 to 795 of the family's 1533-position model. The record is from RNAcentral.